Molecule: ribosomal RNA, 916 nt
Filed under: uncultured Candidatus Poseidoniales archaeon
Lineage: Archaea; Methanobacteriati; Thermoplasmatota; Candidatus Poseidoniia; Candidatus Poseidoniales
Description: bacterial SSU rRNA
Rfam family: Archaeal small subunit ribosomal RNA
Source: RNAcentral
UUCCGGUUGAUCCUGCCGGAGGCUACCGCUAUUGGAGUCCGAUUAAGACAUGCGAGUCGAGAGCUUACGGAGCUCGGCAUACUGCUCAGUAACACGUGGGUAACCUGCCCUGUGCUGGGGGAUAACCUCGGGAAACUGAGAACAAUACCCCAUAGUCCACUACGCCUGGAACGGUGAGUGGAUGAAAGCCCCGGCGGCACAGGAUGGGCCUGCGGCGUAUCAGGUAGUAGGGGGUGUAAAGUACCCUCUAGCCUUCGACGCGUACGGGUUGUGAGAGCAAUAGCCCGGAGAUGGAUUCUGAGACAAGAAUCCAGGUCCUACGGGACGCAGCAGUCGCGAAACCUUGACAAUGCGGGAAACCGUGAUCAGGGGACUCCAAGUGCCAGGAGUAAGAUCCUGUGCUUUUCUUUUCUCUUCAAAGGAUUUGGAAUAAGAGGUGGGUAAGGACGGUGCCAGCCGCCGCGGUAAUACCGGCGCCUCGAGUGGUAGUCGAUUUUAUUGGGCCUAAAACGUCCGUCGCCGGUCUGGUGCAUUCGUGGGUAAAUCAACCCGCUCAACGGGUUGAAUUCUGCGAGCACGGCCAGACUAGGGACCGGGAGAGGUGUGGGGUACGCUCGGGGUAGGGGUAAAAUCCUGUCAUCCCGAGCGGACCACCUGUUGCGAAGGCUCCACACUAGAACGGAUCCGACGGUCAGGGACGAAGCCUAGGGGCACGAACCGGAUUAGAUACCCGGGUAGUCCUAGGUGUAAACGCUGUGGACUUGGUGUUGGGAGCUCCCAGAGGGCUCUCAGUGCCGUAGCGAAGGUGAUAAGUCCACUGCCUGGGGAGUACGGUCGCAAGGCUGAAACUUAAAGGAAUUGGCGGGGGAACACCGCAACCUGAGGAUUGUGCGGUUUAAUUGGAGUCAACGCCGGA